Non-coding RNA from Phoenix dactylifera (date palm), 3158 nucleotides. The record is from RefSeq and is a predicted model, not a curated record. NCBI's taxonomy places the organism in Eukaryota, Viridiplantae, Streptophyta, Magnoliopsida, Arecales, Arecaceae.
CUCACAUGUUGCUCCACAUCCGCCGACACGCGAUUUCUGCCCAUUCCCUCCAACUUCUUUCAAAAAUUAUCUGCUAUCGCUUCUCUAUUUCCAGCUCCAAAGCCAGAAGGCUAACCAAGAAGAGAUGCAUCUCCCUCCUCGAAAAUUGCAAGUCCAUGAAGCAACUGAAGCAAAUCCACUGCCAAAUCCUCGUCUCAUCCCUCCACCUCAGCAGGGAUGUGAUAGAUGACCUCAUGGUCUUCUGCACCGAUCCUGUGUCCGGAGACCUAAACCAUGCAACAAAGGUGUUUGAAACCCUCGAGAGCCGAUCACUUUUCAUCUACAACUUAGUGAUUAAAGCAUUCACAAAGAAGGGUAAUCUAAAGAGUGCUCUCCUUUUGUUCGAUAGAAUGAGGGAGGAGUGUUUGCGGCCAGAUAAUUUUACAUACCCCUUUGUUUUGAAGGCGAUAGGCAGCCUUCACAUGGAAUUGGAAGGGAGAAAGAACCAUGCACUCGUUGUUAAAACUGGACUUGAUUUCGAUCCAUAUGUAAGGAACUCACUGAUGGGCAUGUAUGCCGACAUGGGUAGAGUUGAGAUUUCACAGUUGUUGUUCGAUGAAAUGCCUGAAAGGGAUAUAAUUUCUUGGAAUGUUCUCAUCGCGGCUUAUGUUAAAUGUGGGAAGUUUGGGGACGCUAUCUUUGUCUACUGGAAGAUGGAUCAGGAGGGUGUUAAGCCUGAUGAAGCUACUUUGGUGAGUACACUUUCUGCUUGUGUUUCAACAGGGAAUUUGGAGUUGGGAACAAGAAUUCAUCGUUAUAUGAAUGAAGAAUUUAAAUUCAGUGUGCCUCUUGGAAAUGCUUUGUUGGAUAUGUAUGCGAAAUGUGGCAGUGUAGAUAUGGCUCGUAGGUUCUUCAGUUGCAUGCCAGAAAGAAACGUGAUCUCUUGGACUAGCAUGGUCUCAGGAUAUGUGAAUUCAGGCCAGUUGGAUGAAGCAAGACAGUUGUUCAACCAGAGCCCUGCGAAAGAUGUAAUUCUUUGGACUGCUAUGAUUAAUGGAUAUGUGCAGUAUAAUCACUUUCAAGAAGCUAUGGCACUUUUUAGAGAGAUGCAGCUGAAAAGAGUCAAACCCGAUAAGUACACGGUUGCUGCUCUUCUUACAGCUUGUGCUAGUUUGGGAGCACUCGAACAAGGAAAAUGGAUUCAUGGAUACAUCGAGGACAAUAUGAUAAAAAUUGAUGCUGUGGUUGGCACAGCACUAAUAGACAUGUAUGCAAAAUGUGGGUGCAUAGAGAAGUCCUUGGAUAUAUUUAGGGGAGUGGAAGGAAAGGACACUGCAACAUGGACUUCAAUUAUCUGUGGGCUGUCUCUAAAUGGGCAAACAAGCAAAGCACUUGAGUUAUUCACAGAGAUGAAAAGUGUUGGAGCUGAACCAGAUGAUAUCACCUUUAUUGGUGUUUUAAGUGCUUGCAGUCAUGGAGGAUUGGUGGAUGAAGGCUGUAAGUAUUUCGACGCUAUGAAGAAAGUGCGUCACAUAGAACCCAAAUUAGAACACUAUGGCUGUUUGGUUGAUCUCCUUGGCCGUGCUGGUCUUUUAGAUGAUGCAGAGAAGUUGAUUGGAAAUAUACCCAAUAAUAAUGAUAAAAGCAUCUUACCUUUGUGGGGUGCUUUGCUUAAUGCUUGUAGAAUCCAUGGUAAUGUUGUGAUGGGUGAGCGACUGGCCAAACAAGUAAUUGAACUAGAGUUUGGAAAUCCUGGUCUACAUACUCUUGUGGCUAAUAUAUAUGCUGCGGCAGACAGAUGGGAUGAUGUCACCAAAAUAAGGAGGAAGAUGAAAGAUCUUGGCAUCAAGAAGACACCAGGUUGCAGUUCAAUUGAAGUGAAUGGCAUGAUUCAUGAGUUCCUUGUUGCCGAUACUGCAUCUCCUCAAAGAAGUCAGAUUUACUCGGUGCUGAACAGUAUAAGCAGGCUUACGGACUCGGAUGAACAAAUCGAGAUAAAUGAUCAAGUCAUUAUUUACACAUCAUACCUUCUGGAGAGGUGAAACAUGAUGUUCCAGGGCAAAUUGUCCACUGAAAGCCACAUGGUUAAUAAACUUGCUUGAUUCUGGGAGAUUCUCCUGGGAACACCGUUCAAGCCAAAUCUUACUGAAGCAGCCUAUACAGUUGACAGUCACACAUUUGAUUUUGAGAUCAAAUUUUUGUUUUGAUGCCAGAAGUUAAAGCUUACCUAAACUUGACUAACAUAGCUCUCUGGUGUUUAAUGAGGAAUACAAGCUUAGUAGCUUCUAUUGGUAAAAACAGUUCGCCCAAGUGGGGUAUUUUCGUGCGAAGAUGCUGCCUACACCUGGACAUGUUGUAACCAGAACUCGUACAAAGUGGAAGCCAGAAGACUCGGAGGAUUUUUGAAGAACAUGUAGAUGAUAUUCUUGAAUUAUAUCUUCCUGGAAUAUGACUCAGCUUAUGUGACUACUAGUUUAAUAAUAUAGGAUUGUUGACGGAGAACCUUGCCUUUAUUGCCUCACUUGUUCAGGAUAUUACACUGAGGGGAUUUUCCUCAUUAGCAAGGUUGUUGCUUCCCAAGACUGGCCUGAAGUGACAAAAUAUGCUGGACUUGUUUGUGCUCAAGUUCAUUGACAAGAAUUCAUUCAGGAUGUGUUCAAGACAUGGCAUGAUUCUCAGCAGGGUACAGUUACGGGAGGCAUGCUCAUGCUUGUUUCUCUUUCCUUGAAAAGGGGACUUCAAAUUACAUUUACUGGAGAGCAAUCAGGUAUCUACCUGGGGGCAUGGUGAGGCUGUUGAUGGUUAGAUUAAGGUUGGAUGCCUGUGAUUCGUUGAAUGGCAAGUCCUUCUUCAUUGGAACUUUGAAACUAAUAUUUGCACUCUCAUAUCAGCUGCUGAAGCAUUCAUACGAAAAUUUGCCAAUGAAAAUAUCAAACCAUACAUCUUUACAUAACUACAAGUUAUUACAGAAAGUCCAUGCUUUUUUACAUAAUUUUUUUGUCUUUUUAAGGCUUGCAACGAUAGGAAGAAGUCAGAAUAUAUAAUUGUAUAAUCAUAUGUAAUUCAUCUCUUUACCUGUUUUUAUUCUUUUCUUUUUUUCUUUUUUUUGCCAAUAUGUCAGUCCCAUGGUUGAUAUAUAUCAACCAAGAUAUCAGGAUAUCUUGAAACAUUUUAAAAUG